UGUGAGCGGCAUAUUACUAUCCAAACUGCAAGUCCUAGUAGAUCGCGACCAGCACUGCUCUACCGACGAAGGUUGAAAAGCCACCCGAAACCCACAGAAUACCUAGGAUUCCUAAAUUCGGGAGAACCCGGAUACGUUCAGGCCAUGAAGACGUUCAGGCCGACAUUGUUCAAGACCUGAAGGACCCGUCUUUCUGACUCAGCUUAUCCCCGGCUCCCAGCACCAAGCAUAGCCCUGUGCCCAGCGCACCCCAGACAUUGGAUGAGUAACCCUUGACUGCAGUGGAGGCUACCCCGGGGCACGGCACACAGCCCAGCACCCUUGUUCCAAUAAUACAAGGUGUAGCUCCAGACAGCAAGGCUGGAAGAAGGCAUGUUUGCAUCAUCCCUCCAAUGGGGUCUUGGUCUCCGGGAAUGGCUUGCCCAGGCCUCCGGCCACUGGCUGCCAUUGGCUCCCUAGAAGCGAAGAGAACGCAAGAGAUUCCGUCAAAACAAGGCUCGAAGGUGAGCUAGUGUGGCUAACCCAACUCCUGCCCCACUGUCCACAGGCUUCCACAAAUAGAAAGCGUCAGGAAGAAAAUCAGGAAUUUAACAGACCUUAGAAGAAACGAGUGGUACAAAUAUAUCAAACUCUCUGCCAGAAAGUGGGUAUGAUAUAUAUGUAUCCAAACACAUAUUGUAUGAUGUAGUUACAUAUUAUAAU
This 702-nucleotide long non-coding RNA is filed under the name Neogale vison (American mink). Its description in RNAcentral is "Neovison vison (American mink) lncRNA (ENSNVIG00000000670.1)". The record is from RNAcentral. Lineage: Eukaryota; Metazoa; Chordata; Mammalia; Carnivora; Mustelidae.